AUCGGUUUGGAACACAGACCUUAUGUAAGCAGUUUUAGUAAAGCAGUCCUCAGUUUAAGUGUUAUCCCUAGAUACCCUUCCUCAUGAGCCUCCUCCUAAGUGCGCCCAUAAGUAAUUAUCUGAAACUCAGGCCAAGUUCGCCGCGUUGAGUGGCUCAAAAAAUUAAAGGAAAUAUCUAUGUCUAACAAAAUGACUGGUUUAGUAAAAUGGUUCAACUCUGACAAAGGCUUCGGCUUCAUUUCUCCAGAAGACGGCAGCAAAGAUGUAUUCGUACAUUUCUCUGCAAUCCAGAGCAACGAUUUCAAAACUUUAGAUGAAGGCCAGAAAGUAGAGUUCACUAUCGAGAACGGUGCUAAAGGUCCAUCAGCUGGCAACGUAGUUGCUCUGUAAUUGCUGAUACUUCGCUAACACUUGCGACAGCGAUGACGGCAUUA
This 434-nucleotide small RNA is filed under the name Erwinia billingiae. RNAcentral's name for it is "cspA thermoregulator". It matches the Rfam family "cspA thermoregulator". Lineage: Bacteria; Pseudomonadati; Pseudomonadota; Gammaproteobacteria; Enterobacterales; Erwiniaceae. The record is from Rfam by way of RNAcentral.